Molecule: ribosomal RNA, 308 nt
Filed under: uncultured bacterium
Lineage: Bacteria
Description: bacterial SSU rRNA
Rfam family: Bacterial small subunit ribosomal RNA
Source: RNAcentral
GACGAACGCUGGCGGCGUGCUUAACACAUGCAAGUCGAACGGAAAGGCCCUGCUUUUGUGGGGUGCUCGAGUGGCGAACGGGUGAGUAACACGUGAGUAACCUGCCCUUGACUUUGGGAUAACUUCAGGAAACUGGGGCUAAUACCGGAUAGGAGCUCCUGCUGCAUGGUGGGGGUUGGAAAGUUUCGGCGGUUGGGGAUGGACUCGCGGCUUAUCAGCUUGUUGGUGGGGUAGUGGCUUACCAAGGCUUCGAUGGAUAGGGGUUCUGAGAGGAAGGUCCCCCACAUUGGAACUGAGACACGGUCCAA